Eriocheir sinensis (Chinese mitten crab) is the source of this 355-nucleotide long non-coding RNA. RefSeq lists it as uncharacterized. The transcript is spliced from 3 exons. The record is from RefSeq and is a predicted model, not a curated record. NCBI's taxonomy places the organism in Eukaryota, Metazoa, Arthropoda, Malacostraca, Decapoda, Varunidae.
GAAAGAGGAAGGUGGAGGAAGAAGAAGGGGACAGAGGAAGGUGAAGGAAGAAGGGGAAAGAGGAAGGUGAAGGAAGAGGAAGGGGAAAGAGGAAGGUGAAGGAAGAAGAAGGGGAAAGAGGAAGGUGAAGGAAGAGGAAGGGGAAAGAGGAAGGUGAAGGAAGAGGAAGGGGAAAGAGGAAGGUGAAGGAAGAGGAAGGGGAAAGAGGAAGGUGAAGGAAGAGGAAGGGGAAAGAGGAAGGUGAAGGAAGAGGAAGGGGAAAGAGGAAGGUGAAGGAAGAGGAAGGGGAAAGAGGAAGGUGAAGGAAGAGGAAGGGGAAAGAGGAAGGUGAAGGAAGAGGAAGGGGAAAGAGGAA